This 21-nucleotide non-coding RNA is filed under the name Caenorhabditis elegans. The record is from RNAcentral. Lineage: Eukaryota; Metazoa; Nematoda; Chromadorea; Rhabditida; Rhabditidae.
UUACUUUUCCGCUGUUUUCAA